This 374-nucleotide ribosomal RNA is filed under the name uncultured eukaryote. RNAcentral describes it as "partial 18S ribosomal RNA". It matches the Rfam family "Eukaryotic small subunit ribosomal RNA", at positions 592 to 975 of the family's 1831-position model. The record is from RNAcentral.
CAAUAGCGUAUAUUUAAGUUGUUGCAGUUAAAAAGCUCGUAGUUGGAUUUCGGUUAAGAGCGACCGGUCCGCCGUUUGGUGUGCACUGGUUGGUUUUAACUUCCUGUAGAGGACGUGCUCUGGGUUUAACGACCUGGACUCGGAGUCUACGUGGUUACUUUGAAAAAAUUAGAGUGUUCAAAGCGGGCUUACGCUUGAAUAUUUCAGCAUGGAAUAACACUAUAGGACUCCUGUCCUAUUUCGUUGGUCUCGGGACGGGAGUAAUGAUUAAGAGGAACAGUUGGGGGCAUUCGUAUUUCAUUGUCAGAUGUGAAAUUCUUGGAUUUAUGAAAGACGAACUUCUGCGAAAGCAUUUGCCAAGGAUGUUUUCAUUA